This 322-nucleotide ribosomal RNA is filed under the name uncultured eukaryote. Its description in RNAcentral is "partial 18S ribosomal RNA". It matches the Rfam family "Eukaryotic small subunit ribosomal RNA", at positions 1470 to 1796 of the family's 1831-position model. The record is from RNAcentral.
CCCUUAGAUGUUCUGGGCCGCACGCGUGCUACACUGAGUGGAUCAGCGGGUCAGGUUGCGCGAAAGUGUUUCCUAAUCUUGAAAUCCGCUCGUGAUGGGGAUUGACGGUUGCAAUUUUCCGUCAUGAACGUGGAAUACCUUGUAAGCGCGGGUCAUCAUCCCGCGCUGAAUACGUCCCUGCCCUUUGUACACACCGCCCGUCGCUCCUACCGAUUGAGUGGUCCGGUGAGGCUUUGGGAUCUGAGCAAAGAGAGCGUUUCGCUCGUUUUGCCCGGAAAACUCAGUCGAACCUUAUCAUUUAGAGGAAGGAGAAGUCGUAACA